Molecule: small nucleolar RNA, 100 nt
Organism: Chelydra serpentina (North American snapping turtle)
Lineage: Eukaryota; Metazoa; Chordata; Testudines; Chelydridae
Gene: SNORD16
Rfam family: Small nucleolar RNA SNORD16
About the family: U16 is a member of the C/D class of snoRNA which contain the C (UGAUGA) and D (CUGA) box motifs. U81 acts as a guanine methylation guide and is found in an intron of ribosomal proteins L1 gene in animals. This snoRNA was independently named MBII-98 in mouse.
Source: Ensembl
UGCUGUGAUGAUCUAAUUUGCGUCUUAUCCAGUGUUCAGUGACAGUUGCCUGCUGUCAGCAUGCUGGCGCUGUUGAACUGAAGACACUUGACCCUGAGCA